RNAcentral lists this transfer RNA (76 nucleotides) under Pasteurella multocida. Its description in RNAcentral is "tRNA-Ala". It matches the Rfam family "tRNA". Rfam says of the family: Transfer RNA (tRNA) molecules are approximately 80 nucleotides in length. Their secondary structure includes four short double-helical elements and three loops (D, anti-codon, and T loops). Further hydrogen bonds mediate the characteristic L-shaped molecular structure. tRNAs have two regions of fundamental functional importance: the anti-codon, which is responsible for specific mRNA codon recognition, and the 3' end, to which the tRNAs corresponding amino acid is attached (by aminoacyl-tRNA synthetases). tRNAs cope with the degeneracy of the genetic code in two manners: having more than one tRNA (with a specific anti-codon) for a particular amino acid; and 'wobble' base-pairing, i.e. permitting non-standard base-pairing at the 3rd anti-codon position. The record is from RNAcentral. Lineage: Bacteria; Pseudomonadati; Pseudomonadota; Gammaproteobacteria; Pasteurellales; Pasteurellaceae.
GGGGAUAUAGCUCAGCUGGGAGAGCGCCUGCCUUGCACGCAGGAGGUCAGCGGGUUCGAUCCCGUUUUCCCCCCCA